RNAcentral lists this ribosomal RNA (440 nucleotides) under uncultured bacterium. RNAcentral describes it as "partial 16S ribosomal RNA". It matches the Rfam family "Bacterial small subunit ribosomal RNA", at positions 338 to 795 of the family's 1533-position model. The record is from RNAcentral.
CCUACGGGGGGCAGCAGUAGGGAAUUUUGCGCAAUGGGCGAAAGCCUGACGCCGCAACGCCGCGUGAUCGAGUCGCCCUUCGGGGUGUAAAGAUCUGUCAGUGGGGACGAAACUUGACGGUACCCACAGAGUAAGCACCGGCUAACUCCGAUCCAGACGCCGCGGGAAUACGGGGGGAGCAAGCGUGGUCCGGAAUCACUGGGCGUAAAGAGCACGUAGGCGGCACUGUAGGUCUGUGGUUAAAGUCAGAGGCUCAACCUUUGUACGGCAAUUGAUACUUGCGAGCUAGAAUACGGUAGAGGUAAGGGGAAUUCGUGGUGUAGCGGUGAAAUGCUUAGAUAUCAGGAGGAACCUCGAUGGCGAAGGCGCUUUACUGGACCGUAAUUGACGCUGAUGAACGAAAGCGAGGGUAGCAAAUAGGAUUAGAUACCCUUGUAGUC